RNAcentral lists this ribosomal RNA (428 nucleotides) under uncultured prokaryote. RNAcentral's name for it is "bacterial SSU rRNA". It matches the Rfam family "Bacterial small subunit ribosomal RNA", at positions 355 to 774 of the family's 1533-position model. The record is from RNAcentral.
UGGGGAAUAUUGCGCAAUGGGGGCAACCCUGACGCAGCAACGCCGCGUGAGUGAGGAAGGUUUUCGGACCGUAAAGCUCUGUCGAGCGGGAAGAAAUGUAUCGUGGCUAAUAUCCAUGAUAUUUGACGGUACCGCUAAAGGAAGCACCGGCUAACUCCGUGCCAGCAGCCGCGGUAAUACGGGGGGUGCAAGCGUUGUUCGGAAUUAUUGGGCGUAAAGAGCGUGUAGGCGGCUGAAUAAGUCAGAUGUGAAAUCCCUGGGCUUAACCCAGGAAGUGCAUUUGAAACUAUUCAGCUUGAGUAGGGGAGAGGAAAGUGGAAUUCCAGGUGUAGAGGUGAAAUUCGUAGAUAUCAGGAGGAACACCGGUGGCGACGGCGACUUUCUGGCCCUAUACUGACGCUGAGACGCGAGAGCGUGAGUAGCGAUCA